RNAcentral lists this long non-coding RNA (18089 nucleotides) under Malus domestica (apple). RNAcentral describes it as "long non-coding RNA (MDOM_LNC003955)". Lineage: Eukaryota; Viridiplantae; Streptophyta; Magnoliopsida; Rosales; Rosaceae. The record is from RNAcentral.
UGAUACCCUUCACCGAGCAAAAUAUUGGAGCAUUUCAAAUUUCUGUGUAGAACAGGAGGACUUGCUUUGUCAUGUAGAUACUUCAAUCCCUUCGCUGCACCAGCGGCUAUUUUCAUUCGCGUAUUCCAAUCAAGUCGUCUCUUACCUGGUAACACAUCUGCAAAAGAAGCUUAUGAAACCAGUUCCACCGAAAAGCUAACUAAUGAAUCAUUAAAGGUUAAGAAGCAUCUGGAAUUCGAAAGCUAAUGCAAAAGGCUAUAGACACCAUGUAAAUGGUCGCCCAAUGACCCUAGGGGCAUAUAUUCAUAAACAAGAAGCCUUUGAUCUCCAUCCGCACAAUAACCAAUAAGAUUAACAAGAUUGGGGUGGUGAAGAAGACUAAACAUCAACAAUUCAACAAGGAAUUCCCUGUUCCCUUGUAAUCCAUCACGAUCAAGUUGUUUGAUAGCCACUACCUACACCGAACACAACGAUAAGUUUCAAAUUCCAUGACCAACUACAUCGAUCGCAUAUUAGAAGGUAAAUCUCCUAGUAAGCUAGAAUCUUCAUCCCAUGCUUUGCAAUCUGUAGUCUAUGAAGAAAAUUUCAAAAUAAUCAUUCCCCAAUCCACCCCAACCCAAAAAAGGAAAAAAAAAAACAGCCUUGAAAAUAUCUACACACACGUAUAUGUGUAAAGCACUCGUAAAACCUCUUCGGGGUGCUUUAUUGUUUCAUGUUCAAUGAAAUAAAAAGAUAACCAUGACUAACCUGAUUUGUCCUUUCCAAACGUCCCUUGAAUACUCGACCAAAUCCACCUUCACCCAAAAGACAUUCUGCCCUGAAAUUUCUAGUUGCAGCUGCCAAUUCACGAAAUACAAAAGUCUGUGCUUCAAUGUGAUCAGACCCUCGAUCUUUUGGAUCCUCCUUGACACUCAAAAUGGAACUAGUCUUUGAAAAACCUAAAAUCAAACAUGGAAAAGAAGUGAGAACUUUUAAUAGUUAAAAAGUAUGAGUGAUUUCUUUCACAAUGGAGAAAAUAACCAACCUAUAAACUUCUCAUAAAUAUAGCAACUAAAUUGUAAUAAAGACUGAGCUGGAUUUUGCAGAUGAUGCCAAGCUUUCCGAAAACAAUCCUGCAUGGCUAUAUGCAAUACCAGGAGUAUAAGCCGCAUUUCUGACAAGAAAACAGCAAGAACAAUGCUACAAAGAUUCCUUCUUUACCAGUGCAUUGUAUGAUGUGCCGUCAUAAUUCAUAUUUAACUACAACAACAGUUCAUACCCUAUCAAAUUCAAUCCCAAAGUUAUCUCAAAAUUUGAAAAAUUCUACUCAAAGACACUAAUCUGCAUACUAAAAACUGAACAAAAUAAUACUUCACAUGAAAUAUCUAAUCUUCUGCAAAAUUUAAAAGAAACCCAGAUGGAUAAAAACAAUUACCAAGCCAGUAAAUUCAUCUGUUAAUCACCAGCAGCACAGAUUGAGGUAAAUUUAGAUAAACCAGUAAGUACCUGAAGUGGGUUUGAUCUGAUCAAGUGGCUUAUCCUGUAACUCAAUCUUGUUCUUCCUUUUCUUCUUGGUUUUUGCUUUACAGUUGGAAUUACCAGAACAGGGAAUCAUCAUCCAACCCAUGAUUUUAUAUUGCUGUUUGAGAAGCCAAAGACUCCAAAAGAGAAAAAAGCAGCAGUUAGAAAAAGCAGUCUCUACAGAGACUCUUCAAACCUUCCCCAACUUUCCCAAAAGGAAAAACCCCACACGAGCUACUCAGAUAACGAGAGCUUAUAAAUUUGUAUAUCGAAAAGCUGGAACUUAGAAGUAAGCACAUUUUUUAUUCCACCAACUCUGAUUUUUCUUUCUUUUUUUUGGUUGUCAUGGGAUAUAUUUGAGAAUCGGAAACCAAAUUUAGGUAAAAGAUUCGACCUGUUGUAAAUCAGUGGAUGUACACUCAACCAGAAGAAUAAAGAUAGCUGUCAACCAAGUUGGUUUCAGUGCCUUCCAACCUUGGCCAUCAAGAUUCUCUAAUUAUUUUGAUUAACAAAACAAGUUGGUUUCUGUCAUAAAACCAAAUUUAGGUAAAAGAUUCGACCUGUUGUAAAUCAGUGGAUGUCCACUCAACCAAAAGAAUAAAGAUAGCUGUCAAACAAGUUGGUUUCAGUGCCUUCCAACCUUGGCCAUCAAGAUUCUCUAAUUAUUUUGAUUAACAAAACAAUUUGGUUUCUGUCAUAAAAUAAGGGGAGCACACCCCCACACAACACAAGACUGGGCAGAGAAGAGAAACGGAAGGAAGAGAUAAAAAAAAAAAGAAAGAAGAGAACAAAGAAUAGAUAAAGUUAUCUUUGUAAUCUUAUUAUUUCAAAUUAUAAAAUAAAGCAUUAUUGCUGUCUCGAGGACGUACUUCAGUUGCAUUGACUGUAGAGGAUCCUUGUGUCUUAUUUCAUUUAUUCUACUGCACACAUACCGUCGAAUUCACAACACAUUAUCAGCAUGAAAAGCUUUUAUGUCAGUGGAAAGCACAAUGCCACAAAUUCGGUCCACCUCUGUCAGUUGGAAUCCUACAGAUAAGAAAAUCUUUUCAUAUCACCCUCAAAUCUAUGUACUACUGAUUUUCUUAAAGCAAAUAUAUAUAUAUAUAUAUAUACACACACAUACUCAAAAUCCGUAUAGAAUCUGAUAGCCAUGUAAAUAGUCUCGGAAAUCCAACUUACUGAUCUCGGAUUGAAAUACUUUCUUCCUGAAAGUUGUUCGUCCGCCCAGUAUCUACAAUAUAUCAAAUUUUCAGAAAAUUCCAACGAUACGAUCAUCGCAGAUGUUUGAAAUGCCAAACCAGUUUCCAAUUUCAGCAGAAAACUAGACAGUCAUCUUAUGAGUACCAAAACUCCAUUUUCGGUAGCUCAGAUCGAAAUUGUUUUUUCACGAAAGUUGUUCGGUAUCCUUUUAUCCUCUUGUUCAUAUCAAACUAAAAUUUGAGCUAAAUCUAACAGUUUGAUCUUCUCAUAAGUUGCAAGCACUAUUCCUGACUCCAAAACUUAUGGGAACCGUUUAUGUUCUUUCGAAACUCAUCGGAUGAGGAACAUCAAUUGAGACUUAUUGUUACUAUUACUUCCUGGGUAACUAAAAAGACUUAAGAGUUGUAAAAAUAAAAUAAAAUAAAACAUAAGAGAUGAAACAAAAGAAAGUGGCAUACAAAGAAAAAGAAAAGAAGAAAAAAAAAUAAUGGAAACUUAAUCAUUACCCUUUUCUAUUAUUGCUUUAUUUAGAUGAAUGGUGCUUGUUUAAGGUCUUUUCACAAAUUUAAUUUACUAAUUAAAUGUAAUUUAUUUACAAUGAGUGUUAUUAUCGCCAUUUGCUUUAAGUUUUGAUUUAUUUAUGUGAAUGAUGUUGAAUUAAAGUCUUUGUCACAAGCUUUAUUUACUUAUAAACAAUUUAUUUAUCAUGGUUGAAAUUACUGCCUAUUGCUUUAAUUUAUUUAUUGUAUUUCUUUUGUUACGAUGAGUAUAUACAGGAUCCGAAGUUCCUUGAUUAGAUUAGAACCUACAAUUUCUUGAUCCUCAUCAUAUAAAAUGAUUGGACCCGAAGUUCCAUCAUGAAAAAAGAUCAUAUAUAAAUUUCCGUUAGGAGAUUAUAGAAAAUAAGUUGUAGUCAUGAAUUUUCAGCAAGAGAAGUUCAUCAGGUUUGUUUCAUUUACAAUGGUCUACAACGACAUCCAUAACUCUUUAUUAAGUUGUUUUGUUUUUGGGUUAGACACUUAUAUGGUCACGCCUCUGUUAUCUACCUCCUCCUCUGACUCUCCUUUAUGUUUCUUCUUCCUCUCACUACAAAUUACAAAUAUGGCGGAAUCGGUGGAGUUUCCCACUAGCCUCGGCAUCCUUCCUUUCCGAAACAAGGUCCUAUUACCAAGCGGCAUCAUUCAAAUUCGAUGUAAUUCACCCAAAAGGUACCUUUGAGCCCUAAUCUUUCUCUUUUCAUGCUUUAUGGUGAAAUAUGUAUUUUUGAAUGGUUUUGUGGGAUUUUUGAGCAUAAAUUCAUUACCAAGUGCUGUUAUCCAGAUAGUGUAUACUUUUUUUGGAAAUAAACAGUGGAUGUUAUGGCUUGGAAAGAAUAUCUAAUAUUUGAAUGUGUGAUGUAUGUGAAGCAUCUGUCAAUGAAUUCAGCUUUCAUAUAUCAAGUUAACCAACUUCAUGUUUUCUUAAUAACUCAACUAAUCAAGUUCUUUGUUUUCUUUUGUUUCCGAUUCAUUCAAAGUUUGGACAAAUAAUGAUAGUAGAGGGAGUUUUCGAUCACUACCUUCCGUUCUAGGUUUUUUUUCUUUUUUUUUUCCCUUUCAAUUUCACUUUUUAUUACCAAAAUUGUGGCGUUUAAAAGGGUGAAUUUAACAUGAUUGGAUUACGACUUCCUUACAUAUUUAGACCAUAAGAGGGGGAGUAGGGUUGCUAUAUUCAAGCUCUCUUUUUUUUUUUUUUUUGAAUUGGAUUUCAUUUUUUUUUUAUGGGUUGAUCAUACAUCAUUCAUGAGAAGUGGGAUGGUGAGUUUCUCAAUACAGUUUAAAUUUUUGUGCAAAUAAUGUUUGUAAAAAAUGUGUUUUUAUUUAGUUCAUUGUAGAUUCUUAUUCUUGUAUUUAGUUCACCAUUCAUGCUUCUAAAGAUAAGAAGUGCAAUGCUCUCUCAUAUGUUAGUUUUGGGAGGUAAAGUUUUGAGCUUUUUGCAUUAAAUGUCCUGUUUUCGGGACGAAAUUUGGUGUUUUAAGAGGUCAUGAACAAAUUGUUGUUGGUUAGGUUUUGUGUUGUUGCGAAUUGGCUUCAGAUCCUCACUUGAUAUCCCAUUUAUGCGAAUUUACUUGAGGUCCUCACUUAAUUGGUAUUCUUCCCGUUCAAGAUGCUGUCGAGGCAGCAACAGUGGACUCUGUGUUGUCUCAAGGUGAUUUCUGCUUAUUUCCCCAUUUGACACGGAUGAGUGGAUGCCUAUGAUUAGGUGAAAGUGAAAUCUAAGAGGCUUUAGAAAUGGGAAGUUAUUCUGGUGAACGAAGAUCUAGAGUUCAAGUUUGUACAUUUGAUUCUCACAGGCUAGAUAGAUAGAGAAAAUUAGCAUAAACUUAUUCACUGUCAUACAAGGUAUACUUGAAUCAAAAUCUAUUUUGUUAUUCAUUGGAAAGUGUUUCUGUUUUAUGGGGCCACAACUUAACUUACAGAUAACACAGUGGUCCAUCUAAUCAUGCAUUUGUUGUGAUUGUUUUUAAUUCAAUCAGUUUGACUGCCCCUUUAACCCUUGAUUAAGCCAUGCUCAGUUGAUGUAUAUAAAAGCCAAGUUGCUUAUCUUAUUGACCUCAUUCACUCAUGUGUCCCUCUAUUCAUUCAUGAUUGUGUUGAAUUUAUUCAAGUUAAAUGCGUCUUAUUCAUGCAAUUACGCCUGAAACAAUUGGUUCAUGUUGCAACGUGCGGGCUUAUUAUUUAGUUUAAUACAAAUAAAGAGAAAAUGUAAUACUCUGAUGAGCUAAUUGAAGUCAACAAGGGUUUUUAACCAAAAUAGUUUUUGAGAUUGAUGUAAAUCUUCACAUUAGUGUUUGAGAUUGUCCACCAUCAACCGAUUUAGUCAUUUUGUGAAAAAUCUCCGCUAAAUUGACGAAACCACCGGUCAAGUGGAGGGGUUAAUUUGACAAAAAAUAUCCUCAAUUGAACGGAGAUUUUUCACAAAAAAUGAUUGACUGUGGAUAAUCUCAAAAAUCAUUUGGACUAAAAAGCCAAGGCAGUAGCAACGACGGGGGAAAUUAAGCCAAAAUAUUUACACCAUUUUUUGUCACCAAUCCAUCAAGCAAAGAGAUUCCCAAGUGAAAUGAUUGGCAUCGCAUAGCAGAGCAGAGCAUCCAAGGCGGGAAUCAGAAUCACUGCAACAGUUACUUUUGGUGUGUGUUUUUUCCUCUGAGCCCAUAUGACAUUUUUGUCAGACAAACAUGGGGUUGAAACAGUUUGAUGCCAAAGUUUGAAUGUGAUGUUGUCACUCAGUCGUGGCUUUUCUUUAGUUGUUGUAUCCUUCUCAGAUGAUCCUGCGUUCAUGUUCCUUAGUGGCUUGUCGUGGUUGUGCUUUCCCUCGUACGUGGUGAUGAAAGCUUUGGGAUCAUCCGAGACUGUUUCGACAUGCUUGCGCACGCUGCAUUUGAGACUGGUACAUCUGUAGUAACUUCUGCAAGAUCAUAAAAACUAUGGAGUAAGCACUAGCUAGCCACAGAGAAUCUUGCGUCCCACUGCAGAUGUCAUGAAUGCACAAACAUCACUUGAUGACCAACUUAAGCAACUAAGUCUUAACAUAAUCGAUAGAGGUUGGUUAUAUAUUGGAUUAGGAUCUCAUUCUGAAAAGUAAUGUCUCGAGUUCGGAUUACCAAAAUACUUCGUUAUCAACAAAAACGGGGGUAGAUUUGAGACCUCAUCAACAACACAAAAAAUAUUAGUAGACUAAGAGCUAGAGGUACAUUGUACGAAUGAGACAGAUGAGCGCACACAUGCAAGAGGAAAAUUAGCCAAUUGCUCUAAGAGGUGUGGAUACAUUUCCUAAAGAAAUAAAAAUGAGUUUUCACUCUUUCUAACCUGGGAUAUGGAUUUCCCUGAACAACUUUCUGACCGUACUUCCUCCAGCGGAAGCCAUCACACGUCAUAUCAAAUUCAACAGAAUUUUGCACCACAACACGAGGAUCUUGGACCCCUUCCUCUGAUAUACCUGCUUCAAUGGAAUGAUUAUCACUUUUUCUGAAGGAAAAUCAUAGUUAAACAUAGUCAAUGAGAUUAACCUUCAACAAAGUAUUAUGAAAGAAAUGCUCAUCAAGAAUCAAGAUAUUUCAAACGCAUUUUUAAUCCAAAUAGUCAGGGUCAAUCACGGAGAAGGGAAGAGACAAGAGAAGAGAAUGCUUGAAUGGAUUAAUUGUAUAUUUCAUUGAUACGUGAAGGAGAAAUAUAUACAGUUGAUAUGCACAAUCAACUCCAUAGAAAUUGGGGUUGACUUCCUAACUAGGAAAAUAAAUAAAAACUAAGUAUACAAAUAAUUAGGGAUUUGUUCCUAUUGAGAUCUCAUUGAUUUGUCAACACUCCCCUUCAAGUUGAUGCAUAUAUGUCACCCAUGCCCAACUUGUCUAAGAAACUUGAAAACUUAUGACUAGAAACGGCUUUCGUGAGAAUAUCUGCCAACUAAUUUUCUGUUCUAAUUGAUGGUACUUUAAUUAUUUUCCCUUCCAAUUUUUCCUUGAUAAAGAAUCUAUCAACUUCAACAUGCUUCGUUCUAUCAUGUUGUACCGGAUUAUCUGCAAUGUCACAUGCGGCUUUAUUAUCACAAAAUAAUUUCAUAGGCUGGUCAUUUUUAAUUCCCAAAUCCUGCAAUAAAAGUUUAAGCCACAAAAUUUCACAAAUUCCAAGGGCCAUUCCUCUGUAUUCGGCUUCUGCACUGGAACGGGCGACCACAUUCUGCUUCUUACUCCUCCAUGUAACCAAGUUACCCCCAACAAAUGUAAAGUAACCUGAUGUUGAGUGCCUAUCAUCAACCGAACCUGCCCAAUCUGCAUCAGUAUAACCUUCAACUCCAAGAUGGUUAUUUCUUUUAAACAAAAUCCUUUUUCCUGGACUUCCCUUCAAAUAUCGCAAAAGCCUUAUCACUGCAUUCAUAUGUUAUUCUUCGGGAUCAUGCAUGUAUUGACUCACUACACUCAAGGCAUAAGUAAGGUCCGGUCUUGUGUGUGCUAAGUACAUCAAACGGCCUACUAAUCUCUGGUAUCUCCCUUUGUCAAUUGGUACUUGAUUCAGAUCAACAUAAAGCUUUAAUCCUUCCUUUAAUGGUGUAGAUACUGGCUGACAAUCUGACAUGCUGGUUUCAUGUAAUAAAUCAAUAAUGUACUUUCUCUGAGACAAGAAAAUUCCCGAAUUGCCUCUCGAUACCUCAAUCCCUAAAAAAUAUCUCAAGGAUCCAAGGUCUUUCAUCUCAAAUUCAGUAGACAAGUAUCUUUGCAAGGCCACACGUUCUUCCGAAUCAUUUCCUGUUACCACCAUAUCAUCUACAUACACAAUAAGUGCAGUAAGCUUCCCAUUUCGUCUUUUCAAGAACAAAGUAUGAUCAGAGUUACUUUGUCUAUAACCAAAUGCUCUCAUUGAUUUUGUGAAUCUUCCAAACCAUGCUCGAAGGGACUGCUUCAAACCAUACAAGGAUUUCUUCACCUACACACCUUUCUUUUGUGUUUAUCUGGAGUAUUACAUCCUGGUGGAAGAUCCAUAUAAAUCUCUUCUAUCAAAUCUCCAUGCAAGAAAGCAUUCUUCACAUCGAACUGUUGUAAAGGCCAAUUGAGAUUUGUAGCCAAGGACAACAAAACUCGAACUAUGUUAAUCUUGGCCACAGGUGCAAAUGUAUCUGUAUAGUCAAUUCUAUAUUUUUUAGUUUACUACCAGUCUUGCCUUGAAGCGAUCCACCGUCCCAUCAGCUUUGUACUUCACAGUAUAAACCCAUUUGCAUCCCACAGGUUUCUUACCAGUUGGUAAGUCUGUGAUCUCCCAGGUAGCAUUCUUCUUCAAAGACUUCAACUCUUCAUUCAAUGCUGCUUGCCAACGUGGAUCAGCUAAAGCCUCUUGCACAUUAUUAGGAAUAUAUACAGUAGAUAAUUGAUACACAAAUGACUUAUUUGAGUCUGACAGGUGAUUGGUAGACACAUAAUUACUUAACGGGCAUAACACAUCAGACUUAAGGUGGGCUUAUUCACCAAAUACCUAGUUUUGCACUUAAAAUCAGCUUCGUAAGUGGCUUUAGGAAUACCUCGGUUGACACAGUUAGCGAGACGACAUGGUGGUGGUGGUGGUGCAUUUGGAAUCGAAGGCGAUUGAUUAUGGUUAUUGGGGCUCAAAGAUGGUGAAGCCAACUGUGAGGGCCGCGUGGAAGCUGGUAAUGCGGAAGUUGGCAGUGAGUUGUUCGGCGACGUAAGCUCGUCUCUUUCAAGGUUUUCAACAUUAUGAUCAUGUGAAUGAUCACCACUCGUCUCCAAUGAAUUACCACUUAAUUCCAAGUCAUUCGCAUUAUUUUCAUGUGAAUGAUCACCACUUGUCUCCAAGACAUUAUCACUUAAUUCCAAGUCAUUCACAAUGAUCACCACUUGUCUCCAAGACAUUAUCACUUAAUUCCAAGUCAUUCACAACGUUAUUUUAUUGUGAAUGGUCACCACUUGAAUCAAAAUCAUUCACAAUAACUGUAUCCGGAAUACUAUAAUCAAGAGUUUGAACUUUUGUUUGAUGCUCCCCCUGAAGUGAAGACUUGAGAUUGGCAUAGUACAUAUCAUUCUCAUGAAAUGCAACAUCCACAGUGACAAACAACUUUUUCGUUGGAGGGUGAUAACAUCGGUAUCCUUUUUGUUGUGAGGCAUACCCCACAAACACACACCGCAAGGCCCAAGGUUCAAGCUUACUUCUCUGCUGCUUAUGAAGAUGAACGAAUACCACACAACCGAACACGUGAGGUGGGAGAUUGGAAAUUGGAAGAGCAUCAACAUGGGAGACGAGAGCCUGAAAUAGUGUCUAAAAAUUAACUGAUCGAGAAGAAACACGAUUAAUGAGAUAUGCAACUGAAGUGAGAGUUUCUCCCCAGUAGGAUAGCGGAAGACAAGCCUCAAGCAAGGAAGCACGAACAACUUCCAGAAGCAGACGGUUCUUACGUUUUGCAACCCCAUUUUGUUAAGGAGUGCUUGGACAUGUAAAUUGAUGAACAAUAUCAUGAUGAUCAAGAAAGGCACGAAGCUCAUUGUUCACAUACUCGCCGCCAUUAUCACUCCUGAGAACCUGUAUUUGUGACUUAUAUUGUACUUGCACCAUUUUGUGAAAUCACUGAAACAAAGAAGUAACUUCAUUUUUGGACUUCAUCAAGCAAGCCUAAGUUAUACGUGUGCAAUCAUCAAUAAAAGUAACAAACCAAUGAUCCCCGACACCGAAAUAUUUAUUUUAUUUCGGAAAAUAUUAGUAUUGGUGAUAGGCCCAAAAUAACCCUUAUUUAGUUUAUUAGCAUUAGUUACGUUCUUUCGCUUCAAUGAUUUACUUUCUUACAACACUAUCCAUAGUUUAUUUCUCUUUUUCUUUUUUAUACCAAAACAACAAAUUAAAAUACUAACUUAAUUCACAAGGAUUAAUCAACAACUCCUAAUAAAUUCCUUCAUCCCACGAGCAAAACAAUAUUUGGUGGACCAAUUUUCAUUAUGUAACCUUAAUUCUCGAAUUUAUUUAUAUUUAACCUCACAUAAUUUUAUGGUUGCAUCUAACGUCUCGUUAGACUGCCUACGUACCCUAAACAGGGAUCAAGCCAUUCGUAGUUCACAAUUCAAAACUUCAACCAAAUCCCGAAUAUAUUCAAUUAAUCCAACAUAUACAACAAUCGUAUUAAUAUCCAAACCUCAGCAGUUAGUUUUCAAAAAUAUUAAUAAAAAUUUGAAUUUUGGCAUAAAACAUAAUAUUGGCUCCCUAGCCGUGCGCCGCCGCACGCACCGCCGUGGGUGGCGGUCGACCGCCCGGCUCGCCAGAGAAUUUAACUAUUUCUAAAAUUUCCCAAAAAUUACAAAAAUGAAGAUCUCAAAGAGUAGAGCAAACUUUAUACCUGUGGCCAAGCCCAAUUUGGCUUGGAAAGGCUCCAAUUUGCCUCUAACCCGUUGGAACCCUAGAAUUUGGGUGUCCCCGAUUUGUUAUCUCCGGUGUUCCACCGCUCCAACCAAGGCUUGGGUUUUGUUCUAGGGCUCAAGGGGAGUCUAAAGGUGGUUGUAAUUGAACUAAAACAUUUCAGAUUUUGAUGGAUUUCGAGCAAGGAAAGUCGCGGCACCCAUGAGGUGUUUUCCCCAAUUCUUAGAUUAAUUAAACUCCAAUUUGUGGUGGAAUAGGUAAACGAGAUGAUUAGAGAUAAUUUUCAGGUGGUGGGGGACCUUAAUUUCGUCGGAAUUUGGCCGAGAGAGGAUGAAUCUCGCCGGUUAUGCCUCACGGGUCAAAAGACUCGUUUUCCCCUCCUAUUUUCUUCUCUCAUUUCCCUCCUUGUUCUCCCUCCUGAUUCGCCCCCCCCUUCCUUCCUUUCUCUCCUUCCCUUUUCCUCACAACCGUUCCUCCUUUUCUUCCUUUAAUCUUAGCCACACACGUGGCUUUCCCAGAUUUGGCCUAAAAAUCUGGAAUCUUCUCAAAACGAUCAAGUGACCAUUUUGUCCCUGACUUUAAACGUCAAUAACUUCUUCGUCAUAACUCCGUUUCACGAACGAUUUGCGCCUAUGUGUUCGUGAGAUCGAGCUCUAUUUAAAAAUAUAAAUUAUGACCUUGUACGGUCUACUGAUUUUAAAUAAUAUAAUUCCCAAACUUCUAACUUCUUAACUAGUUUAGUUCAAAACUAGCUCAAAUGAAUUAAUAAAAUUUCUCAAUUCUUUUUCACAUACUCAAAAUUUUGAAUAUUUCAAUUCCUAUAUUUAAAUUUUUCAGGGUAUUACAAAUGAGCCACCAAAUGUUCCAGUUUUAGAUGGUCCCGAAACAUCAGAAUGGAUUAUCAUAAAAGGAACAGAACUUUUAGUCAUACUGGGUGGAAACGAAGUAUGAUGACUUUUAGCCAAUUUACAAAUACCACAUUUAAAGCUAGAAACAUAUGCUUAACAGAUAGGCUAGGAAACAACCUUAAUAAAUAACCAAAAGAAACAUGUCCAAGUCAACGAUGCCACAACCAAACCUCCGAAGCUUUAUUCUUCUCCCCCUUAGAUCCUUCCACUGCAAGAGUUUGCCCUUCCUAAUACCAUAACCAAUCAUCUUGCGAGUCCGAAUAUCCUUAAAAACACAAAAAGAAGGCCAAAACAUCACAAAGCAAUGUAGGGCGACAGUGAUUUGAGCAAUUGAUAAUAAAUUAUAAUCAAGGGAAGGAACAACAAGUACGGAAUCAAGGUUAAGGGUAUUGGAAAGGGAGACAGUGCCUUCCCCAAUAAUGGGGACAACAUUACCAUUGGCAACACUCACGACAGUUUUGAUGGAUGGUUUUAGGGUUUGUACCUGUCCAGGAUCACAAGUCAUAUGUUCAGUAGCACCAGAAUCAAUUAUUCAUGUAUUAUUCGUAACAGAUGCAGAAACUUUUAAAGCCUUACCAUCGUUAUAGUUAUGUUCAGAAGCUACCUUAGUUUUUGUAAUCAGUGCACGAGUCUAGACAACCAUUGCUCUGGAUGAAUUUGGUGCAACACAUAUGGAUGAUUGAUAAGGUCAAAACUUCCAAACAAAGGUCCUAUAAAACAAAAAAAUAAAAAACCAACAAAUUUCCUUCUUUUUUUUCCUCUUCCUCCCUGCCAUUUUUCUAUUUUUCUAUUUUUUUUUCUUUUUUCUUCUUUAUCUACUUUUCUACCCGUCAUUCUUCUUGAUUUUCUUUUCUUCAAACAGCAAGUUUUUCCUUCUUUUUUUUCGGCUUUUUAGCCAAAAUGGUCCUUGAGAUUUGCAGAACUCCUCACUUUGGUCCCUAAGAUUUCAAAUCAAUAGAAGUGGUCCCUGAGAUUGUCCACCAUCCAUCAUUUUGGUCUUUCUGUUAAAAACUCCAUUAAGUGUCCCAGAGUUCUUGGCCAGAAGUUUGGGCAAUUUUCAAAGCAUCCUAACUCAAUCGUUUCUUAACCAAAUUCGACCCAUAAUAUAUCAAAAUGAAGAUAGGAAAGUGUAGAAUAAGAUUAUACUAUUUAGAAUCCCAAUGGUUGCCGAAGAUGGUCAGAAAAUAGCAUCAAAGUUGACUGGUCUGAGGAAAAACUGGAAAACUCGCCGGAAACUGGGUAAACUGUAAACGUUCAUAACGUCUUCAAUACUCAACGAAAUCAAGUGAUUCAAAAACAAAAAUCAUACUUCUAGAUGAAACAAAGACAAUGGUACCUUUUUCAGUUGCUAACUCACCGUGGUUUGGCCCAAUGGGCUCAAAAGUGGUUAACUCAAGACCAAGACAGCCACUUUCGAGCCAUUUUCCAGCCAAAACACGGAGCGUUAGCCACUGAAAAAUGUACAAUUCUCUUUGUCUCGUCUAGAAGUAUGAUUUUCAGUUUUGAAUCACUUGAUUUCAUUGAGUAUUGAAGAAGUUAAAAACGUUUAAAGUUCACCCAGUUUCUGGCGAGUUUUUUAGUUUUCCCUCGGAGCAGUCAAAUUUAAGGCUAUUUUCCAACGAUCUCCGGCAACCAUUGGGCUUCCAAAUAAGUAUAAUCUUAUUCUACACUUUCCUAUCUUCAUUUUGAUAUAUUAUGGGUCAAAUUUGGUUAAGAAACGAUUGAGUUACGAAACUUUGAAAAUUGCCCAAACUUCCGGCCAAGAGCUUCAGGACACUUUAACGAAGUUUUUAACGGAAUGACCAAAAUGAUGGAUGGUGGAUAAUAUCAGGGACCACUUCUAUUGAUUUGAAAUCUCAAGGACUAAAGUGAGGAGUUAUGCAAAUCUCAGGGACCAUUUUGGCUAAAAAAAGCCUUGUUUUUUCACAACAGCACAACAACCUUUUUUUCCUUAAUCUUUUUCGCAACAACAAGCCUUUUUUCUAAUGUUCUUCAAACAACAAGAAGUGGGUCACGGAGUCUAGGCAAAUAAACUAAAUAUAGUGGCUUCAGUCGAAUAUGGGCAUGCAUAACAAAUUCACAAGUCGGAAUCUGGGACAAAUUUCAGGCAGCAGGUUGAAUCUCGGUACGUGGUGGUCGAUGCAGGGAGAGAAUCGGUGAACUCGGAUCAGCAAUGACGGCGUCGCUCACUGGUCGGAUGGUGCACAGCACAACUGGGUGCACGGCUGGUAGUUUGGGUUCUCAGGUCAGCAACGACGGCGUCGCUCGCUGGUCAGACGGCGCUGCACAACUGGCUGUGCGGUAGUUAUGGUUCUCCGUACAGAGGACGGCCUCGUCUUUUUGCUUUUUCUUUUUUUUUUUUGUGUUUUUUCUCAAAACUUAGGCUCUGGUACCAAGAAGAGAAUGCUUGAAUGGAAUAAUUGUAUAUUUCAUUGAUACAUGAAGGGGAAAUAUAUACAGUUGAUAUGCACAAUCAACUCCAAAGAAAUUGGGGUUGACUUCCUAACUAGGAAAAUACAUAAAAAAACUAAGUAUACAAAAAAUUAGGGAUUUGUUCUGAUUGAGAUCUCAUUGAUUUGUCAACAACAAGAAAAUGGAUGCAAACGAUGAUAAGUGACCUAUCGUAUUGUUUCAAAUAGUAAGGUGCACCAGCUUUCAAAACUAAAUCAUGCAUAGCUAAUCCAAGGCCUCUGAUUUAGUCUAACCUUUACUUCUAGGUUCAUAAUCCUCUGCUUCAAGCCCCUUGCUUCCUCGCAUUCGCCACUGAGACCACAAGAAUUAUCAGGAGUUGCACCACCAGCAGUUAUUCCUCCAGUUGCAUGGGGAUCAUAAGGUAGUGGAGCUUUGGUUUGAUAAGACUGCACAGGUAGUCCAACUUCAUUUUGAUCUCCUACUCUACCUUCGGAACCUUCAUCUCUUUCAUUAAGACUGCACAGGAAGUUCCAUAUGCUGAUGAGUGACACAAAAGUGUUUAUGGUCUGAGGUUUGUAACCCAAAGCUUCGUCAAUUUGGCCGAGGUUGUCGGUAGCAGUGAAGCUCGAUCCAAGUCCAAAUAAUGUUGCAAUGAAUAUGAGUAGCAUGUCAAUGCUCAAGAUUGCUUGUAAAAUGGCGUAGUCUUCUCCUCUUGGUGGUUUCUGAAAAUGUUUGAGAACAACAACGUACCUAUCGGCUUGAUCUCUUGAUCCAACUCCAGUUCUUGUGGUUCAUUGAUUUCGUUGUCCUUGUUCUUGUGUUUCCUCUAAGUCUAUUCGACUAGGUUCUUGUUUCGACAGUGUCCAGCUGACUAACUCCUCUCUGAUGAUAAUCAAGAGAGGAAUCAAAAGCAGGAAGCACACCAGCAGUCGUAGCUUGGGCUGCCCGGGGGAAGACAACCAAUUUCUGAGUCAGAGUUAUUGCCAUGAGAAACAAGGCAAGAACAAUCGACACGUACAGAAAGCGAUAAAACACUUUUGAGUUGUCGUUUUUGCUGUUGAUUUUUAGCAGCUGCUGUGAUUUUUAUCGGACGAAUCGUGCACAGAAACACAACUGAGAUUGCAGCUGGGAGCCAACCGAUGAGAAGAAUUAGAGCUCUCUGGUCUUGAAAUCCAUACAAUGCUAGAUAUAUUUGGGUGAUGAUCGCCCCACUGAGGCCGAUGUACCCUUUGAGGAGGCAGAUCAUGAUGCCGCGGCUUUGUGGGAAGUUUUUGACGCAAGUAACCAUAACACCUGUUCGCAAAGCUCAGAGAAUUUGUUGCAAUGUACAUGUAGACACAUGUGCCAGAUUUCCGGCUUCGCGAUCUUUCCCGUGACUCCUAACCACAUCGUGAAGUAGCCGAAGAAGUUCGUGGCCGCACCAUUGAGGAGCUCAAACCACGUCGUUGUUACCUCCGCUAUUAAGCCUGCGAAAAUGCCGAUGUUGGCCCCAAGGUUCUUGAAGAACCCCAGCAGGUUGAGGGUUUCUUGGUCAUAGCCAAAGGUGGUUUUGAGCUCUUUGGAAUAGGUUCCAAACAGAUAAAUUGUACCUAAAUCAGACAUCACCAUCAACAAAGCGAAAACGGAAAACCAUCCGCUUUUUGCCGCGAAAAGUAUCGGUAGGUUUCCGGUGCACCCAGUUGAUGGUGUUGGUGCUGCCUCACUAUUUUGCUUAGCUAUUAGUUUUUGGUUUGGGGGGAGGAAUGGAAAUGGAUUACAUGUUUUACCAUGUAAACAUUAUUAUCUUGCUACCAAAAAAAGAAACAAAAAUCAAUAUUCACUUGGAAAAUUGUUUUUGCUUGGCAUUUAUAUUUUUUUCUUUAUCAGAAUUCUUAGGCAUUAUCCUUAAUAAAAAUCUUAAUAAUUAGUCUUAUCUUUUUUUGUUUUUCUAACGAGAUUUGGAGAUUUUUUAGUAUACUUAAGAGUUUUUGCCGUUAGAUUCUUGGUCAAAGACCAUGAUCCAAAUGCCAAAAAUCCAAAAGUAUAGGGAACCAUAGAGCAGCAUAUAAUUUUCGUCAAAUUAGUUACACAUUUUCAGGAGCCUCGGAACCACCAAACUGCAGCAAAAUCCCAUACUCCAGAAAACAGCUAGUGCUAGACAAUGUUUUAAAAGGCUCGCCUCAGGGCGCGCCUAGGCUCGCCUCAGGGCGCGCCUAGGCUCGCCUCAGGGCGCGCCUAGGCUCCCUGUGAGGCUGGACUUGAGGCUUGCUGCCUCUGUUUUUCAGGGAGUGGGCGAAAGGCGUCGCCAGAGCCGCCUAGGCGUGCCUCAGGGAUUUUUUUUUUAUUACUCCCAAACCCAAAUUUUGGGUGGGGUUUUAACUACCUCAUACCUCUUCCUUGCACUAUCAUCUCUCUGCCUUGUUUUCUGAUUUUUAUUUUUUAUAUAAUGGAUGUGUGUGUCGUCUGUGUGCAUUAUUAUAUAUGUGCUCAUUGUGCUUUUCAUCAUCUAUUUUAUAUAUAUAAUAUAAUAUGUGUAUAUAUAUAUAUGUGUGUAUAUAUAUUUAUAAUAUGUGUGUGCUCAGGAUAAUUAUUGAUUAAUAAUCUUCUUUUUUAAUAUAAUAUAUGUGUACGCUCAGUGUAUAUAUUAAAAAAUUUAGGUCUCGUGAGGCUUCGCCUCACGCCUCACACCUAGGCUAGGCUAUCCCUUGGACGCCUCGCCCACAUCUUACGCUUUUAAUACAUUGGUGCUAGAUACAGUUAAAUUAGGAAGUAAAAUAAAUAGUUUAUUUCUCAUGGUAAAGUAUUUUUCCUACCUUUGAAAUUGAUUCAGAUUGAAAACUCUUACUCGAGUUUUCGGGUUCCAAAUGAUAUGUAUAAUCGUGCGCGAUAUGUUAUAAAACUAAACGUAAAUCUUGUUUAUAUGUUAUAAAACUUGCCUUGCGCUCUAAGCCAAGUUCAUCCAUCCAUUCACAUUUACAAACAAAAGAAAAAGCAAUACAAAGCAAUCUUGACAGGGUUUAGAAAUUACAUUUUACACAACACAGCAGAACCAUACCCCCGAAAACUUGAAAAGAGAAGGUAGUAUGAAGCGAAACCUACGGGAUCUAGAGAUAAUGAAGAAUAAAGAUGUAAAAAUACAAAUGAAAAAUCACUGCACUAAGGCACACAAGGAUAUAGUACAGCAUUCCGGCUCUGUAUAUAUUCAAGAAGAAAAAACAAUGAAGAGAAACACUACCGCAAUUGAGCUUUCCUUUCACUAUCCCUCUUGGUUCUAGGGGGAGUACAAGGGGCAAGACGGGAGCUUUGGACUGGCUCUGUUUCAUGGUCAUACUUCUGUGAAGCAAGGUAAGUCAAAGCUGUGACGACAUCAGCUAUAACUGGCCGCAUAUUAGGCUGCUCCUGAACACACAUUGCUGCAACUGCAAGAGCUUGGUACAAGCCCCUUUGGGGAUACUGACCCUGGAGCGUUGGGUCUGCCAUUUGUGAAAGUUUCUUUCGGUCAUUAAACAAGGGUCUUGCCUGAAACAACAAAGUAGUAACAUGUGAGUGUUAAAUAUCAGAAUAAGUUCUGAUUUGCAGAAUUCUUUAUUGAUGGUCACUCAAAUUAUUAAGAAUAUGAAAGAGCUAAAAAAAAUGGGAAUAUGAAAGAGCUCAAAAGGCUUCAUUAUUUAAAAGAAUAUGAAACAUGUGAACCGAACGGAAUUUCUUACCCACGCAACCAAAUUCUGUUCUCCUGCACCUCUGGUAUUGUCAAUCGCUGUCCUGCCUGUUAUAAUUUCCAAAAGAACUACGCCAAAGCUAUAAACGUCUGAUUUAAGAGUCAAUUGCCCUGUCAUUGCAUACUCUGGAGCACAAUAUCCAUACGUUCCCAUUACCCUUGUAGAUACAUGGGUGUUAUCCCCAACAGGCCCAAGUUUGGCUAAACCAAAAUCAGACAGCUUUGGAUGAUACCCUUCACCAAGCAAUAUGUUGGAGCAUUUCAAAUCUCUGUAUAUAACAGGAGGACUUGCUUUGUCAUGUAGAUACUCCAAUCCCUUCGCUGCCCCAGUGGCUAUUUUCAUUCGCGUAUUCCAAUCAAGUCGUCUCUUACCAGGUAACACAUCUGCAAAAGAAGCUUAUGAAACCAGUUCCACCAAAAAGCUAACUAAUGAAUCAUUAAAGGUUAAGAAGCAUUUGAAAUUUGAAAGUUAAUGCAAAAGGUUAU